This 253-nucleotide ribosomal RNA is filed under the name uncultured bacterium. RNAcentral describes it as "partial 16S ribosomal RNA". It matches the Rfam family "Bacterial small subunit ribosomal RNA", at positions 524 to 776 of the family's 1533-position model. The record is from RNAcentral.
UACGGAGGGGGCUAGCGUUGUUCGGAAUUACUGGGCGUAAAGCGCGCGUAGGCGGACCUGCAAGUCGGGGGUGAAAGCCCGCGGCUCAACCUCGGAACUGCCUUCGAUACUGCUGGUCUCGAGUCCGGGAGAGGUGAGUGGAAUUCCUAGUGUAGAGGUGAAAUUCGUAGAUAUUAGGAAGAACACCAGUGGCGAAGGCGGCUCACUGGCCCGGUACUGACGCUGAGGUGCGAAAGCGUGGGGAGCAAACAGG